Molecule: ribosomal RNA, 767 nt
Filed under: uncultured bacterium
Lineage: Bacteria
Description: bacterial SSU rRNA
Rfam family: Bacterial small subunit ribosomal RNA
Source: RNAcentral
UUAGAGUUUGAUCCUGGCUCAGGACGAACGCUGGCGGCGUGCCUAACACAUGCAAGUCGAGCGAAUGAAGUUCCUUCGGGAACGGAUUUAGCGGCGGACGGGUGAGUAACACGUGGGCAACCUGCCUCAUAGAGGGGAAUAGCCUUCCGAAAGGGAGAUUAAUACCGCAUAAGAUUGUAGUACCGCAUGGUACAGCAAUUAAAGGAGCAAUCCGCUAUGAGAUGGGCCCGCGGCGCAUUAGCUAGUUGGUGAGGUAACGGCUCACCAAGGCGACGAUGCGUAGCCGACCUGAGAGGGUGAUCGGCCACAUUGGGACUGAGACACGGCCCAGACUCCUACGGGAGGCAGCAGUGGGGAAUAUUGCACAAUGGGGGAAACCCUGAUGCAGCAACGCCGCGUGAGUGAUGACGGCCUUCGGGUUGUAAAGCUCUGUCUUCAGGCACGAUAAUGACGGUACCUGAGGAGGAAGCCACGGCUAACUACGUGCCAGCAGCCGCGGUAAUACGUAGGUGGCGAGCGUUGUCCGGAUUUACUGGGCGUAAAGGGAGCGUAGGCGGAUUUUUAAGUGAGAUGUGAAAUACUCGGGCUUAACCUGAGUGCUGCAUUUCAACUGGAAGUUCUAGAGUGCAGGAAAGAAGAAGGGAAUUCCCUAGUGUAGCGGGGAAAUGCCGAGAGAUUAAAGAAGAAACACCGGGGGCGAAGGCCCCUCUCUUGGACUGAAACUGAACCCUGAAAGUUCAAAAAGCGUGGGGGGACCCAAAAAGGGA